UACGGAGGGGGCAAGCGUUGUUCGGAAUUACUGGGCGUAAAGGGCGCGUAGGCGGCCUGUUAAGUCGGACGUGAAAUCCCCGGGCUCAACCCGGGAACUGCGUCCGAUACUGGCAGGCUUGAAUCCGGGAGAGGGAUGCGGAAUUCCAGGUGUAGCGGUGAAAUGCGUAGAUAUCUGGAGGAACACCGGUGGCGAAGGCGGCAUCCUGGACCGGCAUUGACGCUGAGGCGCGAAAGCCAGGGGAGCAAACGGG
This 253-nucleotide ribosomal RNA is filed under the name uncultured bacterium. RNAcentral describes it as "partial 16S ribosomal RNA". It matches the Rfam family "Bacterial small subunit ribosomal RNA", at positions 524 to 776 of the family's 1533-position model. The record is from RNAcentral.